Long non-coding RNA from Xiphophorus couchianus (Monterrey platyfish), 469 nucleotides. RefSeq lists it as uncharacterized. The transcript has 3 exons. The record is from RefSeq and is a predicted model, not a curated record. NCBI's taxonomy places the organism in Eukaryota, Metazoa, Chordata, Actinopteri, Cyprinodontiformes, Poeciliidae.
CCAGUUACUCAGAAGGCUUGUUGCUAGGUAACCAAAGUUAGGGGGGGCGGUGGAACUUGAAACAGCAUGCUACCCAACAGAUUGUUGCUCGGCAACCAAAAGUGAGUGAGUGAGUAAGACGCUUCCACCAGCAUUACUAAGCUGGCUGUGAGAGGUUGUGAGAGGCUAAAACCUUUCCUCUGCCUACAUUUCCCAGAAUGCCGUGCGGUUCUGGAUAGGAGAAGCUCCAACUUUGCCCUGCGGCCCAGCAUCUCCAGGACGACCAGCCGGCCUCGCCUGUACGUCCAGGGUCUCCAGUGGCACCUUUUGGCCCAGCAGCACCAGGGACGCCACGGUCACCAGGGGCUCCCUGAAGGUGGAGCAAUAAGUUUAACACCAAUCAACUUUACUACAGUCAUCAUGCAGAAAAAAUACCAAGUUUUGACAGUCAAAGAGGUAAAAUUCAUUCUGAUUGAGAUUCGUUUAGGUA